GUUUCAAAUGUUCUACCUGCGGUCUCCAAGACUGAGGAAGAGCUUCAGGAGAUCCUGAUCCGAAAAGAGGCGCAGAUGAAAGAAAAGCAGGAACGGAAGAAAAACAAGAGCAGGAUGUUUCCCAAAAGAAAGCGUUACGGGAGGAGAACAAGAAAAGAAGCAUGGCAGGCAUCAAGAGGAAGCGCCAGGAGGAGGAAGAGCAUGACCCUGAAGUGGAGGAUCCCGGGAACCAGGAUAACAGGCCCCCGGUUGUUGAAUCUGACGACGAGGCAGAGUACUACAGACAGGUUGUUUUGUUGUACUAUAUUUUUGUGCUACUU
Molecule: long non-coding RNA, 320 nt
Organism: Oncorhynchus tshawytscha (Chinook salmon)
Lineage: Eukaryota; Metazoa; Chordata; Actinopteri; Salmoniformes; Salmonidae
Exons: 3
Source: RefSeq, a predicted model, not a curated record